RNAcentral lists this transfer RNA (101 nucleotides) under Lentinus tigrinus ALCF2SS1-7. RNAcentral describes it as "tRNA-Met". It matches the Rfam family "tRNA". From Rfam's summary of the family: Transfer RNA (tRNA) molecules are approximately 80 nucleotides in length. Lineage: Eukaryota; Fungi; Basidiomycota; Agaricomycetes; Polyporales; Polyporaceae. The record is from RNAcentral. RNAcentral also lists the same sequence under 1 other name.
GCUUGGAUGGCUCAGUUGGUUAGAGCGCAGGUCUCAUACAGUUGUAUGACCGCAGAAUGUGGGCAAUCCUGAGGUCGUGAGUUCGAUCCUCACUCCGAGCA